This is a long non-coding RNA of Salvia miltiorrhiza (redroot sage), 870 nucleotides long. RefSeq lists it as uncharacterized. The transcript is spliced from 5 exons. NCBI's taxonomy places the organism in Eukaryota, Viridiplantae, Streptophyta, Magnoliopsida, Lamiales, Lamiaceae. The record is from RefSeq and is a predicted model, not a curated record.
CUUGGCUGAAUCUCAACGUGUUCUUAAAGCAUUGGGGAUGGAUUAUUUAGAGAAGGCUGCUGAUUAUGAUGCUUUAAAAUGCUUCAGAAAAGCUUAGGGCCUUAAAUCUGCUAUGCAUUCAUGUUCUUGGAACGAAAAAGCUAAGAAAUUGGAUAGAAGACCAAAACAAACAAUUUGAGCAGAAGACAAAGGAAGCUAAAUCAAAGGUUUUUGAUGCUACAGGCAAGACUUCGCAGCUGAAAAUUAAAGGUGACAUUGCCAAAGCAAUUGAUGCUAGGGAUGGGGAGCGGGAAGCUCGUGCAAAGCUGCUCGAGUCAGAGGCGAUGCUGAUGCAAAGCUGCAUUAAUUAUUCUAUGCAGCAUAUUAGUUCUAACCGUUUUCUGUUUGUAGGUGGCACCUCUGGCCGUGUCUGAUGCAGCUAUGCUAGCUCCUAAAGAAGUAAUUUCUGGUAAAGGUGACAUCAAAGAAGAAACUGAGCUAACAAAGGCAGAUAGAAAGAGGAGAAGGGCAAAGAAAAAAAGACAGUUUAAAGCUGAGUCUGUCAAACGGAUGGCAGUAAAGACACAGCUAAGCACAUUGAAGAAACCCGAAGAUGUUGCAGGGAACGGGGAGUCAUGAAUGACACUUUGAAAGAAAUGUUUUCUUGCCUUUGCCGUCUAAUGUGAUUCAUGAUGUAGUGUGAAACAAAAGUCAACAUAUUGUUUGUUAUCUUUUUCUUGUCCAGUUUUCUUUUAUUUCACAUAUUUUAUUUGGAUUAUUUUUCUAUUGGCAGGUUGAGCUUGUGUGUCGGGUUCUCUCCUAAGUUAGUUGCUGCAAAUUCAUCAUAGCAGGUCAACUAGUUCAUGAGGACUUGGUGCUAGAACACAUAAU